Non-coding RNA from Podarcis lilfordi (Lilford's wall lizard), 228 nucleotides. The record is from the annotation of a GenBank genome assembly. Lineage: Eukaryota; Metazoa; Chordata; Lepidosauria; Squamata; Lacertidae.
CUUUUGUCGAGAGCGAAGGGGAGGCGGAUGGAACGCUCCGGGGAGUGGCCUUCAAAGCGCCGGGCUCGCGCAUUUCGCUUGGCCGGGAGGCGGCGCCAGGCUGCCCCGCCGCUCUCCCUUGGAAAGCCCGCGGCUUCGGGGCCUACCUCCGGAACUGAGGCCUUCGUGGGGGAGGCACCUAAAGCAGACUUUGGGGGUACGGAAGGCUAGAACUGACGUCGAUUACGG